This 492-nucleotide ribosomal RNA is filed under the name uncultured bacterium. RNAcentral describes it as "partial 16S ribosomal RNA". It matches the Rfam family "Bacterial small subunit ribosomal RNA", at positions 29 to 507 of the family's 1533-position model. The record is from RNAcentral.
AGUGAACGCUGGCGGUAGGCCUAACACAUGCAAGUCGAACGGCAGCACAGUAAGAGCUUGCUCUUACGGGUGGCGAGUGGCGGACGGGUGAGGAAUACAUCGGAAUCUACUUUUUCGUGGGGGAUAACGUAGGGAAACUUACGCUAAUACCGCAUACGACCUACGGGUGAAAGCAGGGGAUCUUCGGACCUUGCGCGAUUGAAUGAGCCGAUGUCGGAUUAGCUAGUUGGCGGGGUAAAGGCCCACCAAGGCGACGAUCCGUAGCUGGUCUGAGAGGAUGAUCAGCCACACUGGAACUGAGGCACGGUCCAGACUCCUACGGGAGGCAGCAGUGGGGAAUAUUGGACAAUGGGCGCAAGCCUGAUCCAGCCAUACCGCGUGGGUGAAGAAGGCCUUCGGGUUGUAAAGCCCUUUUGUUGGGAAAGAAAAGCAGCAGGUUAAUACCCCGCUAUUCUGACGGUACCCAAAGAAUAAGCACCGGCUAACUUCGUG